Molecule: non-coding RNA, 421 nt
Organism: Equus caballus (horse)
Lineage: Eukaryota; Metazoa; Chordata; Mammalia; Perissodactyla; Equidae
Source: RefSeq, a predicted model, not a curated record
CAAGGGCAGGGACUAAGGAUGGUAUACUCUGUGAAGGGCACACAGUGGUGCUCAGUAAAUGGUGAAGUGUGAAACCCUAAGAUCCAUAUCUGGAGGAGAUCUAAUGUAGUUGUUCCAUUUUUCACAUGAGGAAACCAAGGCCCAGACAGGGAAAGUGACUUUCCCAAGGUCCCCCAGCAGGCGGGAUCAGGACUGGAGCCAGGUCUCCUGCCUCCCCCUGCCCUUCCCUCCAUCCCACACAGGUUGGCAGCUCUGAGACAGCUGGAAGUAAACCCUGCAAUUCUACAUCUGCAGAGAUUCUUACAGCAGUGGGCAAGGAUGCGGCCGCCCUCAUUCAGCUGCUGUCACUGAGAGAGCUGGAGCCCGGGCCCGAGACUUCUGGCCAGUCCAGAGGGAGUGUGGCACUGAUCGUCAGCACCCC